GCUCUCAGGAGCCCGCUACCUUGGAAUGUCGAGGAGCAGCCCCUCUGCUUUCUCUCCCUUCUUCGCUGGAGCCAGCUCCUGCCAUCUGGCCAGCGCAGGACCCAAGAUUAAUACUAAAAUCAACAUAAUGACCCUGGAUGACAGUACAUUAAGCAGUGGAAAGAGAACCAAAGGCCACUAUCACAGGGCUGGGAAGAAAGCUGACCCUGCUCAAUAAGGGCGCAGGGCAGAAGCUGUGGCUCUAACAAGGGGAGAAAAUGAAGAGCUACAAGAGGUGAGACCCACUUGCUGGGGGCCCCCCAAUGCUGCUCACAGUGCAGUGCCUCCCUCUAUCCAGUGUGACCCGAAGAGAAGACACUGCUUAAACCAUGUCCUUCUGCUCAGCAGAGACACACGAACUCUGGGAGCCUUGGGGCACUACUCCUGGGGCAGUGAUGGCGGGGAGUCUUGGGGCUGCCUCUGGAGAAGUGCAGGGACCCAGGACAUGCCAAGGUUCUCCAGAGAUUCUGGAUUACUGACGGCUAGGAGCCCCCAAAACAAGGACCAACCCAGAAGAGGGAUAAAGAAGACUGAGGUUUUCCCCCUCAUGUUAAACUAUACAACUUGAAAGUAGCCAAAUAAAUGUGCGGAUGAGAGAAAUUUAUGAGAGUUCCCUUUCCUCCUAGUUAUGAUCACAUGAUAAGAGACUGUCUCAUGUAUAAAAGCAGCUUUUCUCUCCUCCUGGACAACAGUAGAG
This 736-nucleotide long non-coding RNA is filed under the name Chinchilla lanigera (long-tailed chinchilla). RNAcentral describes it as "lncRNA (ENSCLAG00000026910.1)". Lineage: Eukaryota; Metazoa; Chordata; Mammalia; Rodentia; Chinchillidae. The record is from RNAcentral.